This is a non-coding RNA of Mycena leptocephala, 93 nucleotides long. Lineage: Eukaryota; Fungi; Basidiomycota; Agaricomycetes; Agaricales; Mycenaceae. The record is from the annotation of a GenBank genome assembly.
GGCCUGGUGGUGUAGUGGUUACACAUCCUCUUUGAUUUGUCUAUUGUGAAGUGUCCUAUGUGGAAGUCCCUGGUUCGAAUCCGGGUCAGGCCA